Molecule: ribosomal RNA, 253 nt
Filed under: uncultured bacterium
Lineage: Bacteria
Description: partial 16S ribosomal RNA
Rfam family: Bacterial small subunit ribosomal RNA
Source: RNAcentral
UACAGAGGGUGCAAGCGUUGUUCGGAAUUACUGGGCGUAAAGGGCGCGUAGGCGGCCUGUUAAGUCGAACGUGAAAUCCCCGGGCUCAACCCGGGAACUGCGUCCGAUACUGGCAGGCUUGAAUCCGGGAGAGGGAUGCGGAAUUCCAGGUGUAGCGGUGAAAUGCGUAGAUAUCUGGAGGAACACCGGUGGCGAAGGCGGGUCUCUGGGCCGAUACUGACGCUGAGGAGCGAAAGCGUGGGGAGCGAACAGG